CGGGGGAGCAAGCGUUGUUCGGAUUUACUGGGCGUAAAGGGCGCGUGGGCGGCCGCCGCAAGUCGACUGUGAAAUCUCCGGGCUUAACCCGGAAAGGUCAGCCGAUACUGCGGGGCUAGAGUGCAGAAGGGGCAACUGGAAUUCUCGGUGUAGCGGUGAAAUGCGUAGAUAUCGAGAGGAACACCUGCGGCGAAGGCGGGUUGCUGGGCUGACACUGACGCUGAGGCGCGAAAGCUAGGGGAGCGAACGGGAUUAGAUACCCCGGUAGUCCUAGCCUUAAACGAUGAAUGCUUGGUGUCUGGGGUUUUAUAGUCCCCGGGUGCCGUCGCUAACGCUUUAAGCAUUCCGCCUGGGGAGUACGGUCGCAAGACUG
This 373-nucleotide ribosomal RNA is filed under the name uncultured organism. Its description in RNAcentral is "bacterial SSU rRNA". It matches the Rfam family "Bacterial small subunit ribosomal RNA", at positions 527 to 896 of the family's 1533-position model. The record is from RNAcentral.